RNAcentral lists this ribosomal RNA (379 nucleotides) under uncultured bacterium. Its description in RNAcentral is "partial 16S ribosomal RNA". It matches the Rfam family "Bacterial small subunit ribosomal RNA", at positions 338 to 709 of the family's 1533-position model. The record is from RNAcentral.
CCUACGGGUGGCAGCAGUCGAGAAUCUUUCGCAAUGGUCGUAAGCCUGACGCUGCGACGCCGCGUGAGUGACUGAAGCCUUCGGGUCUUAAAGUUCUUGUCACGGGGAAGAAAAUGCCUAUAAGUAACUCUGUAUGUGUUGACGGUACCUACAUAAUCAUCCCCGGCUAACUCCUUGCCAGCAGCCGCGGUAAUACGGAGGGGGCUAGCGUGGUUCGGAGGGAAUGGGCGUAAAGAGCACGUAGGCGGUGUUGUAAGUCAUUAGUCAAAGACGAGAGCUCAACCGUAGUAAGGCGAGUGAUACUGGAAGACUAGAGUAUUAGAGAGGGAAGCAGAAUUCUUGGUGUAGCGGUGAAAUGCGUAGAUAUCAGGAGGAACAC